RNAcentral lists this ribosomal RNA (888 nucleotides) under uncultured bacterium. RNAcentral describes it as "bacterial SSU rRNA". It matches the Rfam family "Bacterial small subunit ribosomal RNA", at positions 8 to 891 of the family's 1533-position model. The record is from RNAcentral.
AGAGUUUGAUCCUGGCUCAGGAUGAACGCUGGCGGCGUGCCUAACACAUGCAAGUCGAACGGAGUUCUUAAGGAAUGCGACUUCGGUCAAAUGACUUUUGAACUUAGUGGCGGACGGGUGAGUAACGCGUGAGCAACCUGCCUUUCAGAGGGGGAUAACAUUUGGAAACAGAUGCUAAUACCGCAUAAGAUUACAGUACCGCAUGAUACAGUGAUCAAAGGAGCAAUCCGCUGAAAGAUGGGCUCGCGUCCGAUUAGAUAGUUGGUGAGGUAACGGCUCACCAAGUCGACGAUCGGUAGCCGGACUGAGAGGUUGAACGGCCACAUUGGGACUGAGACACGGCCCAGACUCCUACGGGAGGCAGCAGUGGGGAAUAUUGCACAAUGGGCGAAAGCCUGAUGCAGCAACGCCGCGUGAGGGAAGACGGUUUUCGGAUUGUAAACCUCUGUUUUCGGUGACGAACAAAUGACGGUAACCGAGUAGGAAGCCACGGCUAACUACGUGCCAGCAGCCGCGGUAAUACGUAGGUGGCAAGCGUUAUCCGGAAUUACUGGGUGUAAAGGGAGCGCAGGCGGGAUAGCAAGUCAGCUGUGAAAACUAUGGGCUCAACCCAUAAACUGCAGUUGAAACUGUUAUUCUUGAGUGGAGUAGAGGCAAGCGGAAUUCCGAGUGUAGCGGUGAAAUGCGUAGAUAUUCGGAGGAACACCAGUGGCGAAGGCGGCUUGCUGGGCUCUAACUGACGCUGAGGCUCGAAAGUGUGGGGAGCAAACAGGAUUAGAUACCCUGGUAGUCCACACUGUAAACGAUGAUUGCUAGGUGUGGGGGGUCUGACCCCCUCCGUGCCGGAGUUAACGCAAUAAGCAAUCCACCUGGGGAGUACGGCCGCAA